This is a long non-coding RNA of Oenanthe melanoleuca, 1607 nucleotides long. RefSeq lists it as uncharacterized. The record is from RefSeq and is a predicted model, not a curated record. The transcript is spliced from 4 exons. NCBI's taxonomy places the organism in Eukaryota, Metazoa, Chordata, Aves, Passeriformes, Muscicapidae.
GGUGCCAGAGCUCCUCUUACCGCCCCGGAGUCACCGGAGCCGCUUUCCCCCGGCUCCUGGCGGUGUUCGGCCUUCAGGGGGUCCUGCCAGCGCCUGAGGGGGCAGGGGAUGGUUUUCAUAGGGAAUGGGCUCUCCAGUGCCGUCUUCAGCGGCCUGCCUUGGCCUUUGGAGCAGGUUUUUCCUGCAUCUGGAAUUAGGACUCUGGGUGGUUAAUGGAAGGAAUCAGCAUGUGGGAAUCUUCUCAGCUGCUGGUUCCUGCUGUUCCCAGGAAAGGUGAUGCAUCUGCAAGGUGAAUCACGGAGUCCUGGUGGGAUCUCUCGACGCUGUUGGGAGGAGUUUUUUGUGGCAUCGGACACACGGUGGCGAUGGAAAUCACCUUUUCCUCCAGAGCUUCGGGCUUUGGAGUGCUCAGCAACCACACGUGUGUGCCCCGAGCAUGGAAGGAUGAAAUAUUUCUGUUCAAUCCCAAAUAACUGCUGACAUUUCAAGUGGCCGAGGCUCCAGAGAAUCCACAAAACUUUCUCGGCUUGAGUGGUGCCAGGCUGGCAGUGUCACUGACCCCCUCACCCGGGUUGAUCUGUCCUGUGUUUGCCCUGGGGGUGUCAUCAGAGCCUGGUCAGGAGAGGUGGAACCAGCCCUUGGCGUCACAAAAGGUAAAAACAUUUCCUCUGUAUUAUUUGGAGUUUAUUUACUAAGGCUAAACUUCCUUUAUUUAUUUAUUUAUUUUUUUUGAGAAAACAGAGUGGCAUGAGUUUGCAGUGCACAUGCUUGGAAGUUGUGGAAUGAGAGUAAAUAACUGUCCAGUUUUGGAGCAGGACAGGAAAAGGGUGUGCAUUUACCACCCCUCCUCCAAGGCAGAACGUGGUUCAAAAAUUUCAAAAUUUUGCAAACUAUUGGAAAAUAUGUCUGAACCCUGUGAAACAAUUAAAACUCAGAUUAUUCCAGCCCAGGCUUGAAUCCCAGAAUGAUUUAGGUUGGAAAAGACCUCCCAGAUUGAGUCCAACCUGGCACAAGGAUCAGCCCUCACUUUACUCCAGCUGAUUGUUCCAAGUGAUUCCUCAGCCUCUCCUCACAUGCCUUCCCCUCCAGACCCUUCACCAUCUUCACAGCCUAAAAAAAGCUCCUCCAAAUCCCCGCUGGGUUUUUAAGGUUGAUGUGUCUAACUAGCUCUUUUCCACGUGUUCAUGCCUCUCUCUGCCCUUGAGAGGAAGAGUUGCUGCAGGACUUCAGUGUAUGAAGCAAUCCCUCCCCCAGCAGUGUUUGGACAGUGUUUGUACCUGGAUGGAUGCUGGGCUGGGCAGACAGGCAGAGUGCAGGUGCAGGUUUUAGCAGGCCUGGAGCUCUGGGAACAGCAGCCAGGAUGAACUCAGCACCUGUCGUAAUCUCCUGGUUUUGUAAGUUCUGUAUAUAGUUAUUAUCAGUGAUUUGGGACCAACCCCUCAAGCACUCCCCCUCAUUUCUGCAGGAGUUGGGAUUUAGCACUGGAGAUGAUUAACUAACAACAAAAACCUUCUCUUUAGCUCCUUCAUGAAAUACUUGAUCAGAGGAAGAUUCUUUAUGUAAAAGACACAUCUAUAUCUAUGCAAUUAUGGCUACAGAGGUAUAAU